GAUAAUCUCCAGACUUUCUCCGUCUCUUUAUAGUAAGAUAAAAUUAAAAGUGAUCAUGUUGCUGUUAGUUAUUGUUGCUGUGUUAUUCUCCGGUUGUUUAGCUAACGAGCUAGAGCCCUAUAAUGCCACAGCCCGGCAGAUGUUCCACGCUAAUGAUUUCAAUGGGGAUGGUAAAUUUGAAAGAGCAGAACUCGAUUUUAGUUUCAACGUUUACGACACAG
Molecule: long non-coding RNA, 221 nt
Organism: Patella vulgata (common limpet)
Lineage: Eukaryota; Metazoa; Mollusca; Gastropoda; Patellidae
Exons: 3
Source: RefSeq, a predicted model, not a curated record